GCUGUAAACGAUGCUCGCUAGGUGUGGCACUGGCUACCAGCCAGUGCUGUGCCGUAGGGAAGCCGAGAAGCAAGCCGCCUGGGAAGUACGUCCGCAAGGAUGAAACUUAAAGGAAUUGGCGGGGGAGCACUACAACCGGAGGAGCCUGCGGUUUAAUUGGACUCAACGCCGGACAUCUCACCAGCACCGACAGUGUGCGAUGAAGAUCAGUGUGAUGAGCUUAUUGGAGCCACUGAGAGGAGGUGCAUGGCCGCCGUCAGCUCGUACCGUGAGGCGUCCUGUUAAGUCAGGCAACGAGCGAGACCCGCAUCCUUAAUUGCCAGCAGUACCCUU
RNAcentral lists this ribosomal RNA (333 nucleotides) under uncultured Natronococcus sp. RNAcentral's name for it is "bacterial SSU rRNA". It matches the Rfam family "Archaeal small subunit ribosomal RNA", at positions 750 to 1080 of the family's 1478-position model. The record is from RNAcentral. Lineage: Archaea; Methanobacteriati; Methanobacteriota; Halobacteria; Halobacteriales; Natrialbaceae.